UAGGGAAUCUUCGGCAAUGGGGGGAACCCUGACCGAGCAACGCCGCGUGAGUGAAGAAGGUUUUCGGAUCGUAAAGCUCUGUUGUUAAGGAAGAACGAGUGUGAGAAUGGAAAGUUCAUGCUGUGACGGUACUUAACCAGAAAGGGACGGCUAACUACGUGCCAGCAGCCGCGGUAAUACGUAGGUCCCGAGCGUUGUCCGGAUUUAUUGGGCGUAAAGCGAGCGCAGGCGGUUAGAAAAGUCUGAAGUGAAAGGCAGUGGCUCAACCAUUGUAGGCUUUGGAAACUGUUUAACUUGAGUGCAGAAGGGGAGAGUGGAAUUCCAUGUGUAGCGGUGAAAUUCGUAGAUAUAUGGAGGAACACCGGUGGCGAAAGCGGCUCUCUGGUCUGUAACUGACGCUGAGGCUCGAAAGCGUGGGGAGCGAACAGG
Molecule: ribosomal RNA, 429 nt
Filed under: Bacteroidota bacterium
Lineage: Bacteria; Pseudomonadati; Bacteroidota
Also listed under: 1 other name
Description: Bacteroidetes bacterium partial 16S ribosomal RNA
Rfam family: Bacterial small subunit ribosomal RNA
Source: RNAcentral